Molecule: ribosomal RNA, 534 nt
Filed under: uncultured Sordariales
Lineage: Eukaryota; Fungi; Ascomycota; Sordariomycetes; Sordariales
Description: eukaryotic LSU rRNA
Rfam family: 5.8S ribosomal RNA (bases 188-341)
Source: RNAcentral
AAGUCGUAACAAGGUCUCCGUUGGUGAACCAGCGGAGGGAUCAUUACUGAGUCUUAUCUCAAAACCCUUUGUGAACCUUUAUAACCUGUUGCUUCGGCGGCGCGGCCCCCGGGUCGUGCCCGCCGGUAUCAUCAGAAUCUCUGUUCGAACCCGACGAUACUUCUGAGUGUUCUAAGCGAACUGUUAAAACUUUCAACAACGGAUCUCUUGGCUCCAGCAUCGAUGAAGAACGCAGCGAAACGCGAUAUGUAAUGUGAAUUGCAGAAUUCAGUGAAUCAUCGAAUCUUUGAACGCACAUGGCGCCUUCCAGUAUUCUGGCGGGCAUGCCUGUUCGAGCGUCAUUUCAACCAUCAAGCCCUGUGCUUGUGUUGGGGGCCUGCGGCUGCCGCAGCCCCCUAAAGGCAGUGGCGGGCUCGCUGUCAUUCCGAGCGCAGUAACUUAUCUCGCUUUGGUCGUGGCGGUGGGCACCUGCCGUAAAACACUCUUUUUCACAAGGUUGACCUCGGAUCAGGUAGGAAUACCCGCUGAACUUAA